CAGCAGCCACGGUAAAACGUAGGGUGCAAGCGUUAAUCGGAAUUACUGGGCGUAAAGCGUGCGCAGGCGGUUAUAUAAGACAGAUGUGAAAUCCCCGGGCUCAACCUGGGAACUGCAUUUGUGACUGUAUAGCUAGAGUACGGCAGAGGGGGAUGGAAUUCCGCGUGUAGCAGUGAAAUGCGUAGAUAUGCGGAGGAACACCGAUGGCGAAGGCAAUCCCCUGGGCCUGUACUGACGCUCAUGCACGAAAGCGUGGGGAGCAAACAGGAUUAGAUACCCGAGUAGUCCCUGUCUCUUAUAC
This 301-nucleotide ribosomal RNA is filed under the name uncultured bacterium. Its description in RNAcentral is "partial 16S ribosomal RNA". It matches the Rfam family "Bacterial small subunit ribosomal RNA", at positions 509 to 807 of the family's 1533-position model. The record is from RNAcentral.